This 259-nucleotide unclassified non-coding RNA is filed under the name Hevea brasiliensis (rubber tree). The record is from RNAcentral. Lineage: Eukaryota; Viridiplantae; Streptophyta; Magnoliopsida; Malpighiales; Euphorbiaceae.
AUGUUCUUAUGGCUGGAUACUUGCCUUUUGACGAGCCAAACUUUAUGGCUUUGUAUAGUAAGAUUUGCAGUGCUGACUUCACAUUUCCAUCGUGGUUCUCUUCUGGUGCAAGGAAACUGAUAAAGCGCAUUCUUGAUCCAAACCCUGUUACACGGAUAACCAUUUCUGAAAUAUUGGAAGAUGAAUGGUUCAAGAAAGGAUACAAGCCCCCGCAGUUUGAGCAGGAAGACGAUGUAAAUCUUGAUGAUGUUGAUGCUGC